UAGAGGUAAACGGGUGGAUCCGCAAAGUCGGCCCGGGGAAUUCAACUUGCCGUUUGGGCUGCGGGCGUUGGGUCAGGGAUCCGUAAAGACCCGCCUGGCGUUCGGCAGUCGUCGGCGAGUGCACUUUCCUCGGGUAGAGCGCCACGACCGGUUUCGGAGCGGUCAUAAGCCGGCUGGGAAGGUGACUUCCUCCUCGGAGGAAGUGUUAUAGCCCGGCCAGGUCGGCUCGUUCCGAGACCGAGGAUUUGCCGCGUCUCACUGCCCCUGGCUCUCUGGGUGCGUUCGACUGGGGAAGCACUGCUUGCAGUUCUCUCCGACUGCGUGCCUUGAUUGGUCGGGAAGCACGAGGCGCUUCGGGUCAGUGGCGAAUCGGUCGGUCCUCCACCCGACCCGUCUUGAAACACGGACCAAGGAGUCUAACAUGUGCGCAAGUCAUGGGGUUCUGUACGAAACCUAAAGGCGCAAUGAAAGUGAAGGUCAACCUCCGGUAGGCCUAGGUAGGAUCCCCGCGAGGGGCGCACUACCGGCCCGUCUCGACCACAUCGUUGGUGGGGCGGAGCAAGAGCGUACACGUUGGGACCCGAAAGAUGGUGAACUAUGCCUGAGUAGGACGAAGCCAGAGGAAACUCUGGUGGAGGUCCGUAGCGAUUCUGACGUGCAAAUCGAUCGUCAAACUUGGGUAUAGGGGCGAAAGACUAAUCGAACC
This 706-nucleotide ribosomal RNA is filed under the name Brachidontes darwinianus. RNAcentral describes it as "eukaryotic LSU rRNA". It matches the Rfam family "Eukaryotic large subunit ribosomal RNA", at positions 410 to 941 of the family's 3401-position model. The record is from RNAcentral. Lineage: Eukaryota; Metazoa; Mollusca; Bivalvia; Mytilida; Mytilidae.